UAGGGAAUCUUCCGCAAUGGACGCAAGUCUGACGGAGCAACGCCGCGUGAGUGAAGAAGGAUUUCGGUUCGUAAAACUCUGUUGUUAGAGAAGAACAGCGCAUAGAGUAACUGUUAUGCGUGUGACGGUAUCUAACCAGAAAGCCACGGCUAACUACGUGCCAGCAGCCGCGGUAAUACGUAGGUGGCAAGCGUUGUCCGGAUUUAUUGGGCGUAAAGCGAGCGCAGGCGGUCAAUUAAGUCUGAUGUGAAAGCCCCCGGCUCAACCGGGGAGGGUCAUUGGAAACUGGUUGACUUGAGUGCAGAAGAGGAGAGUGGAAUUCCAUGUGUAGCGGUGAAAUGCGUAGAUAUAUGGAGGAACGCCAGUGGCGAAGGCGACUCUCUGGUCUGUAACUGACGCUGAGGUUCGAAAGCGUGGGUAGCAAACAGG
Molecule: ribosomal RNA, 429 nt
Filed under: Bacteroidota bacterium
Lineage: Bacteria; Pseudomonadati; Bacteroidota
Description: Bacteroidetes bacterium partial 16S ribosomal RNA
Rfam family: Bacterial small subunit ribosomal RNA
Source: RNAcentral